UACGUGGGUGGCAAGCGUUGUCCGGAUUUACUGGGCGUAAAGGGAGCGUAGGCGGAUAUUUAAGUGGGAUGUGAAAUCCCCGGGCUCAACCCGGGAGCUGCAUUCCAAACUGGAUAUCUAGAGUGCAGGAGAGGAGAGUGGAAUUCCUAGUGUAGCGGUGAAAUGCGUAGAGAUUAGGAAGAACACCAGUGGCGAAGGCGACUCUCUGGACUGUAACUGACGCUGAGGCUCGAAAGCGUGGGGAGCAAACAGG
This 253-nucleotide ribosomal RNA is filed under the name uncultured bacterium. RNAcentral's name for it is "partial 16S ribosomal RNA". It matches the Rfam family "Bacterial small subunit ribosomal RNA", at positions 524 to 776 of the family's 1533-position model. The record is from RNAcentral.